AUAUUGUACCUAUUUUCCCGUUUUUCCUACGUUUUUCCCAUUUAUUUGAAAAGCUCCUGGAAAAUUAAAAAAAAUGACCUCCUUAAAGUCCCUUUCCUCAAAUAUUUCCUUUUAAAAAAAAUUGUAUCAUUGUAAAUCAGAGGAACAUUGCUCGUAGAAAAGUUGUUCACAAGAACAAACAAAUUCCGUAUUAUUUUUUUUAGUUUUGUAUUAAUUUAUUUUUAAUAUCGUAAAUAUUUAUCGGGUUUUUGAAAUUUCCAAAAAUUAAAAAAAAAAAAAAAACAUUUGCGCAUUCAACGUAUACAACUAUACAGUUCAUAAUGUGCAACGUGCAACGUCUCUAGGUCAGGGGCGUACAUGGUAGGAUGAAGGUGUCGCAUAUCCCUGGUGACCUUUUUUUUUUUUACCUAUUACUAAUUAUAUGUUACGAGUUACACACAAACUCUUAUGCAAAUGCUGAGCAUACCGCUGUACUGGACCACAUAAUAAUUAUCCCGCAAAAAAAUUCGGGUGUGCACCAUUGAAUCUCAGCUCGACCGGAAACAAUCGUAAGAAACAGAAUUAUAAAUCAAAUUAUCGUAAAUUAUACUGACUAGUUGGACCUAUAGCAUACAACUGUGGAGCUAACAAAUACGGUAGUAAAUCUAACGUCAAAUUCAGUCAAUGUUGUAAAAAUAAUUUCACUAUUCGUAUCAUUGAAGCAGCAGUAUAUAGGUAUAGACACACUAGGUAUCAUGAUUUGAGGAUAUACAAUUUAUCCAAAACGUAAACAAGAAGUUCGCCGAAAAUCAUGCGAGUAGACUAUACGGAGUUCUAUACCAAUGUGACUGGUAAACAACUCCAUAAUAACUCAUAGAAUACGAGGCGGCGCCUCGAAUGCCUAUGGAUUCAUAUAACUUAGUUUAAAUGACUUAGGUAUCGCUAAAGAUUGAGGCUACUUCUCUGAAGUUAUGACUCUGAAUAUGAUCCAUGUUUAUCGUGCACUUACAAUAUAUAUAUAUAUAUUUCUCAUAUUGUAUUACUUAUUAUUUAUAUGCUCGGCGUCAGGCACGUAGCCAGCAUUCAAUUUGCAUGCAUGAUUGAUACGUAAAACAUUUUAUUUUUUUUUUAUAAACUGACAAAUAUUUUAUAAUGGCUUUCUUGGCUUCGCUCGUAUCUAGUCAGCAAAGUAAAAUAGGUAAAAGACCACACCGCCUAUUCAGUCUACUCAACGCUAUCGUCUGGCGUACCGCAGGGCGCUGUACUAUCUCCUAUACUAUUCUCCCUAUUUAUAAACUCAGCUGUCUCGGUACUACAUCAUUCUAAAAUUCUCGUCUUUGCUUAUGAUACGAAAUUCUUCCUCCGCAUAAAAUACAUUUCUGACUGUAGGUUUCUCCGGAAUCAACUUCAACGUUUAGUAUCAUGGACACUUACAAACAUCGAAUUGCUUAGUUAUGACAUUCUGUCGUACCAAUUCUGCAGUCAAGUAUACUUACUCUGUCAAUAACAUACCCUUGUCAAUUGUAAAUGACACUUUAAAAGACUUAGGUUUCACUCUUGCACAGUCUCUAUGCCUUAAUAUGCAUAUCUAAGUAAUAAUUGUAAGGCUUCCAAAUUAUUGGGUUUCAUUAAUCGGAUAUCUACGGAAGUUUCUCUGGUCGCUCCAUUAAAAGCUCUUUUUUGUUCUCUAGUGAGUCCUAUUCUCGAAUACGACUCUGUGCUCUGGGACCCUUCUACCGCUGCCAUUCGUUAUAUGAUAGAAAAGGUCCGAAGAAAAUCCCUUCGUCAUGCUGCCUUUAAACACCCUUUCCCUCAUGAUUAUACCCCUGUCCAACGCUUUUUAUCCAUGGAUAGUCUCUCUGACUGUCGGCACUCUGCAUGCAUCUCAUUCCUAUCUAACCUUUUUCCCUCUAAAAUUGAUUGUUCCGAGAUUAUAUUCCGCAUCACAUUUAACGUUCCCUAUCGUCGCACACGUUCAUCGAUCCCAUUCCAUAUUUCUUUAUUUUCAUCUAAUUAUCUUCUCCGUUCUCUUAUUCGUCUUAUGCGGCGCACCGCUAAUACCAACACUUCUUUUGAUUUAACUUUUUAAUCAACUUUCAUCACGUUUUAUUAUUCUAUAUAUAUAUAUAUAUAUUUGUUAAUGUAUAUUUUAUUGUAUAAUACUAAGUAUGUACAUUGUAAUCUGGGCUAGUCCUGUAGUAAAUAGACAAAUAAAUAAAUAAAUAAUAC
This 2208-nucleotide long non-coding RNA is filed under the name Cinara cedri. The record is from RNAcentral. Lineage: Eukaryota; Metazoa; Arthropoda; Insecta; Hemiptera; Aphididae.